This 2049-nucleotide ribosomal RNA is filed under the name metagenome. Its description in RNAcentral is "bacterial LSU rRNA". It matches the Rfam family "Bacterial large subunit ribosomal RNA", at positions 1 to 2073 of the family's 2925-position model. The record is from RNAcentral.
UAAAGCAAUUAAGGGCGUAUGGUGGAUGCCUAGGGUCUGAGAGGCGAUGAAGGACGUGGUAAGCUGCGAUAAGCUUCGGGGAGCUGCACACAAGCAUUAUAUCCGAAGAUUUCCGAAUGGGACAACCUGAUACAUUGAAGAUGUAUCACUCGAAAGAGAGCCAACCCGCUGAACUGAAACAUCUAAGUAGGCGGAGGAAAAGAAAAUAAUAAUGAUUCCCUGAGUAGUGGCGAGCGAAACGGGAAGAGCCCAAACCUUGGUGGCGUGCUGCCAAGGGGUUGUAGGACUGCAUUUAGAAACUGUUAUCAAGCUGAAUCUUCUGGAAAGUUGAAUCAAAGAGGGUGAUAAUCCCGUAGGCACAAAUUAACAGCGACGAGCAGUAUCCUGAGUAAGGCGGGACCGGAGAAAUCCUGCCUGAAACUGCCGGCACCAUCCGGUAAGGCUAAAUACUCCUCAGACACCGAUAGUGAACCAGUACCGUAAGGGAAAGGUGAAAAGCACCCUAAACAAGGGAGUGAAAUAGUACCUGAAACCGUGCGCCUACAAGCGGUCGGAGCCAGCAAUGGUGACGGCGUGCCUUUUGCAUAAUGAGCCUACGAGUUACUCCUCACUGGCGAGGUUAAGUUCUUAAGUAACGGAGCCGUAGCGAAAGCAAGUCCAAAUAGGGCGACUAGUCAGUGGGGGUAGACGCGAAACUUUGUGAUCUAUCCAUGGGCAGGUUGAAGUGUUGGUAACACAACAUGGAGGACCGAACCCAUGAGCGUUGAAAAGCUCUGGGAUGACCUGUGGAUAGGGGUGAAAGGCCAAUCAAACUGAGAGAUAGCUCGUUCUCCCCGAAAUGUUUUUAGGAACAGCGUCGCAUUUUAGAAGUUUACUAGAGGUAGAGCUACUGAUUGGGCUAGGGGGCUUCACCGCCUACCAAACCCUGACAAACUCCGAAUGCUAGUAAAUAUCUGCGGCAGUGAGGCUGUGGGCGAUAAGGUCCAUGGCCGAGAGGGAAAUAACCCAGAUUAGCAACUAAGGUCCCUAAUACAUGGUUAAGUUGAUCAAACGAGGUGGAGUUUCUAUGACAGCCAGGAUGUUGGCUUGGAAGCAGCCACUCAUUUAAAGAGUGCGUAACAGCUCACUGGUCGAGAGACUCUGCACGGAAAAUAAUCGGGCAUCAAACCAUGAACCGAAGUUCUAAGAUUGCUACUAGGUAGUAUAUCGGUAGGGGAGCAUUGAAAUCUGCGCUGAAGGUGUGUGGCGAUGCAUGCUGGAGCGAUUUCAAAAGAAAAUGUAGGCAUAAGUAACGAUAAUUGAAGUGAAAAACUUCAACGCCGUAAACCCAAGGUUUCCUGAUCAAUGUUAAUCAGAUCAGGGUUAGUCGGGUCCUUAGGCAAACCCGAAAGGGGUAGCUGAUGGCAAGUUGGUUAAUAUUCCAACACCUGCUUUAGAUUCGAUGGGGUGACGGGGUAGUGAAAGAUCCGCCUGGUGACGGAAUACCAGGUUAAAGGGUGUAGAUAUAGGUUUUGUAGGUAAAUCCGCAAGAACUGUCGAACCUGAUAGUACAGCAAAGCUUCGGCUGCGUUGAUAGUGAUCCUAAUCAGACCUCCGAGAAAAACCUCUAAGUUAUGUUUAAAGCAGCCCGUACCGCAAACCGACACAGGUGGGUGGGAUGAAUAUUCUAAGGCGCUCGGGUGAGCCUUGGAGAAGGAACUAGGCAAAUUGACGCUGUAACUUCGGGAUAAAGCGUACCUACUUCGGUAGGUCUCAGUAAAAUGGUACAACCAACUGUUUAGCAAAAACACAGGGCCCUGCAAAAUCGAAAGAUGACGUAUAGAGCCUGAUACCUGCCCGGUGCUGGAAGGUUAAGGAAGGAUGUUCGGAGUAAUCCAAAGCUUCUGACUGAAGCCCCAGUAAACGGCGGCCGUAACUAUAACGGUCCUAAGGUAGCGAAAUUCCUUGUCGGGUAAGUUCCGACCUGCACGAAUGGUCUAAUGAGUUGUACACUGUCUCCUCCAAGAGCCCGGUGAAAUUGUAGUAUCGGUGAAGAUGCCGGUUACCCGU